GACGAACGCUGGCGGCGUGCUUAACACAUGCAAGUCGAACGGAAAGGCCCGGCUUUUGUGCGGUGCUCGAGUGGCGAACGGGGGAGUAACACGUGAGUAACCUGUCCCUGACUGUGGGAUAUCUUCAGGAAACUGGGGCUAUUACCGCAUAGGAUCUCUCGCUGCAUGGUGGGCGUUGGUAAGUUUCGGCGGUUGGGGAUGGACUCGCGGCUCAUCAGCUUGUUGGUGGGGUAGUGGCUUACCAAGGUUUUGAGGGGUAGCCGGCCUGAGAGGUGAACCGGCGACAUUAGGCCUGAGAUACGGCCCAGACUACAAUGGGACGCAGCAGUGGAGAGUAUUACACAGUAGGCGGAAGCCAGAUGUAGCAACGCCGCGUGCGGGAUGACGUGAUUCGGGUUGUGAACCAAUGUCGCCUUAGACGAGGCGUGAGUGACGGUAACGGGUAAAGAAGCACCGGCUAACUACGUG
This 468-nucleotide ribosomal RNA is filed under the name uncultured bacterium. RNAcentral describes it as "partial 16S ribosomal RNA". It matches the Rfam family "Bacterial small subunit ribosomal RNA", at positions 28 to 507 of the family's 1533-position model. The record is from RNAcentral.